AAAAUAAUUAUACUAACUAAUAAUAAACCACAAAAUUAUAAAUAUCCCGAAAUUUAUGUUGUCAGUUUUUAUUUACAUAUAUUUAAAGAACUUUGAAAACAAAAUAAAGUGCAAAAAGUGAACCCUCAUUAAUUGUAGGGGAAAUGUCUAAAAAAGUUUCAAACUUUGCAUUAUUUUACCCUUGUACCCCAAACUUUUUUUUUUAAUAAUUUUACCCUGAAAUUUAGACCUUAGUUCAAUUGAAUCCACCGCUAAUUGGUCCAUUAACACCUAAUAGAAAUGCAAUGUCAAUACUUCGAAUCCCUCAAAUUAAACCUAAAUUAUAGCAUCCAUGCUUCCAUCUCCAAUGAACAAAGGUAGAAGAAACAUCGUUCCUUCUGUUGGAAAAUAACAAGGGAUGAAAAUAUAAGGACUUCCUCAUCCAAAAUGUAGGUCACAAAAUGCCCACAGCACUUGGAAAUGCCCACAAUACCAAGUUCCCAAAGUACUCAGUACUUUAGACUCAUUCACAUCCGUCCAUUCAUUGAGAUUUCCGCGUGUUGUUUAAUCGGGUUAAUAGGUUUACCUGUUUUAUUUUAAUCCAUUCAGGCAUUUAAAUAUGUUAUUAUCCCUUUUAUUUAUAAUUAAAAAUAUAAUUUUACUUUCAAUAUCUUAUAAUUUAUUUUUUUUUGUUUUUUUGACAAAACACUUGGUUAUUAAAAGAAAAUCUAAAUUCUUAAUGAAU
This 724-nucleotide unclassified non-coding RNA is filed under the name Hevea brasiliensis (rubber tree). The record is from RNAcentral. Lineage: Eukaryota; Viridiplantae; Streptophyta; Magnoliopsida; Malpighiales; Euphorbiaceae.